Molecule: long non-coding RNA, 12025 nt
Organism: Mus musculus (house mouse)
Lineage: Eukaryota; Metazoa; Chordata; Mammalia; Rodentia; Muridae
Product: predicted gene, 34037
Exons: 2
Source: RefSeq, a predicted model, not a curated record
GGUGUCCCCAAGGUAUGACUUUCAGAACACACAAAUUUCCCCAGAAAAUUACUGGGUCCUUAAAGACUGGGUUCCUACGGAAGACACACAUGCAAAACACCACAUUGUCUUGUAACAGUUGCUCCCUGCUACCAACACCACCAUCACCACACUCACGGUCAACAUUACCUUCGUGACUGCCGCCACCAUUUCUUAUUACAGCGUCUUUACUGGUAUCUUUCCCAUCACCACCAGCAUUCUCAUCGCUAACUUCAUCCCUGUCUGUCACCGUUAUCAUCCACUAUAACCAUCAUCGUCAUUACCACCUUUUACUGCCAGUGUCACCACUGCCCCAGCCACUACUACACCUCUGUGGCUGCCUUUGCUAUCACUUCAGGUCUCCUGGUGAGUAACACCACUGCUACUGACCCCAGUGAUCCAGUGACCAGAGACCUCGUCUUCAACCCAAAGCGGGCCUGAAUACUAUGCUUAUCUCUGCUGCCCCAGGAAGGAAGCACCCCACGCUACAGCUCAGAUCAGGUGUUCACCCACACAGGUAGAGGCCCUGGAGAGAAUGGGGCUUAGUUCACACCCUGGUUUCAGCAGAACCUGGGGCUCCAUUUAGAAGGGACCAGGGUGCUCACCCAUGGCGUGGGUGGCUGAUGCUGCUGGGUCCGGAUGACCUCACCUCUAAGACAGUCCUUCUACCAGUUUGAUGCAAGACUGGAUGAAGGUAAAAGGAGCCAAUGAGGAGAAACCUGAGCGCAACAGUAGCUCCCAGGAGGAGGAUGUGAUUAGCCUAAGCCGGGAUGGUUUUGAGAAGGAGGGCAGCAGAUGAUACCUGAGGGACAAGGUCAGACAGAGGGGAGGGGUCCCAAGUGGGAGCUUCUGCAGGGACAGAGGUGUGGCUUGGAGAUGCGUGGGGGCAGGUCAGGGUGAGCAGCUUAGCUAGACCUUUGUUCUGCCCAAGGAUUUGGGCCCCAGCUGCUAAACGGCAUGGCCACGCCUCUUCCACAGAGCUCCUUACUUCUACCCCAAUCUUUCCUCUCAGCUCUAUGAGCCCCAGUCAGUAUUCUCAUUCUACAGACAAGGGGACCAAGACUCAGAGAAUGUGAGUCACUUACCCAAGACUAUGCAGCGAUGGAAUGGCAGAGUUCUACCCAGAAUAUGCCUUUAUCCACGCCAGCACCAGCCUCUGACCUCACUGCCUUCCUGGCAGCGAGGCUAAGGGAUGAAGCUGGACCAAGGUGAAGCCAGGGCUCCCCACAGAGGUCAUCCGGAAGAGUGGGAAUUGAAGCCAUAUAUUUCCACCCAGGAUGUGGCUUUGAGUGGAUGCCUGAGACUGCCCGCUAGCUUUGGUGGCUGCAACGUGGGUACUACCCUGGACAUAAGGCUGGGCACCAGCUGCCCAGGGGUCAUGUUGAGAGCCUUGGCAAAAGUGACAACCAGACAAAGGCCCGGAGGUGGAAGGCAGGGUGGGCACAGCCUGGUUGCCAGGUGGAAACGCCCAGUGUAAAAGCUGUUCUGAAUACUGGCUGCGCCCCGCUGCUGCAAUCAGCCACGACACUUGGUUAUUAUGAGGAGUAAAGGCGGCCGGCGGGACAGCUGGAGCCGUGGCGACAACAUUUAAGGCGUUUGUCAGAGCUGUGGGACACGGGCUGCCAGGCGCUAAUGGCUUCUGUGUGCUGCUGCCAAGUGAGAGGAGGGCGGGCAGGCAGAGGCGGCCUUGCUCCUGCCUGGGCCUCGUGCCUACCUCAUGCUGCGUAGCCGCUCCAUGACAGGUAGGCCCCACCUGGGCCCUUCAGAUGCCUAGCAACCACCACAUAGCCUUGGUACCAGCUGGAGAGGGUGAGUGGGGGGGGGGUAGCCGUGCAGGAUGUUCCUGCCUAUUUAGGGCAUCUAUACCAUGCCCGCUUCCACUCAGACUUCAGCUCCCCUCCCCACUGGGACAAGGGUCUGCGAGUCAGUUCCCCACUAUGCCAUACCUAAGGAAGAGAGACUCCUAAAUCAGGCUGGCUCAGCCUCUGCUUCCUCAGCCUUUUGGGUUGGACUUUGUUUGAGAAAGAACCUCCAGAGAGAUUUCAGCUUUUCGAGCCUCAGUUUUCCUUCCCUGUAAAAUGGGAAAAUAAAAGUAUCUACUUUUGACUGUACUGACAAGAAAACAGAGGAGCUGGGUGUCAAGCCACAUGCUGAUAAUCCCAGCACUUGGGGUUCAUAGUGAGGGGCUGGGCGUGGCCUCAGGAAUUCCUGCACCUGGAAGAACAUACCUAUCGGACUCAGCACCACAGUGUGCUGCAACAGGUGAUGACAUCACCGAGCCGCAGGGCUGCUCACUAACCCCCCCUCAAAGCAGAUCCAUCCUCACCCCAUUGUGCAGAUGAAGCUGGGGCUCAGAAGUCCUCAGUCUCCAGUCACAGCUCAGGGGUUCUCCCAGGGGCUGUGUGGGUACAUCCCUCACCCUACUUGCUGGUUAGCUCAAGAGAUACUACGAAGCUCCUCUCAGGCAGAAAGGGAUUUUCAGCUGGCCAUGGGUCAGUAAUAUGAAUAGGGAAACACCGUGGAUCUGGGAAGAGACUCAAGGGGCAGGAGAUCAUCUUAGUGGCCCAAGCUCUUUCCUAGGCUAGACUAAGACUGGAAGCAGCAAGAGGACCCUGAAGGCCAAGUGUAGAGGCACACACCUUUAAUCCCACCACUUGAGAGGCAGAGGCAGGAGCAAGGCCAACCCAGUCUACAUAGUGAGUUCCAGGACAGCCAGAGCUACAUACUGAGACCAUGUCUUUAUAAAAAACAGGGGGAAGGGGCUCUAAAGAAGGUAUAUAAAGCGUUGUGUUCUGCCCAUGGUCAGCCAGAAGACCUCUUCCAAGAGUGCUCUGUUGAUAGGUAUAGCUUGGGACCCUCGUGGCACAAGGGACCGGGACUGGGGGCACUGCUAUAGUUUAGUUGUUGAUCACUGACCCUUUGGAAGCAGCUGCCAGGGCUCUGUCUUUUUACAUUUGUAUUUUCUAUGUCUGCAUGUUUUGUCUGCAUGUAUGUCUAUGUAUCACAUGGGUGCAGGACCCACCGGAGCCAAAGAGAGCCUUUGAUUUCCUGCAACUGGAGUUACAGACAGUUGUUAGCAGUCAUGUGACUGAGAACUGAACCCAGGUCUAGAAGAGCCACGAAUGCUCUUAACCACUGAGCCAUUUGUCCAGCCCCCAGCAGCUGUCCUGAUAGAGGCCACUGCCUGCAAUGGCUCCCCCUGGAGGAACACAGUAGAGUCAUGGGCUCAGGCAGCAUAGGCCUACCAUGCACAUCUGUAAAGGGCUUGUAGAAAAAUGCUGUCCGCAUCUUCAUCCCACUUCCGAGAAGGAAAAACCAAGGCAAAGGGAGAGCAGAAAGGCUGGCCUGGGUCAUGCUCAUCUUAGGGUCUGCUUCACUUCUUUGAACCCAUGGAGCUAGGAGCUCGCCAUGACAAUCCAGCCCAUGUAGAGGCCUCCAGGCCACCUCAUUCAGAGCCCAUUGCUUUGCCCAGAUCACUCCCAGGGUAAGGUCUUUCCCAACACUCUGGAGUCCUACGCUGCUACCUUACUUCCUAGGCCACCUCCACAGGAAAGGGGGUGACUAUGGUCUCUUGGCUCUCUAUUGAGGGAUACAAGGGGAUGUUGGGUUUGUGGCUAGUAGAGAGUGGGCGAGGUUUCAUCUGACUCUGUGACCAUCAGCUUUGCCAUCCUGGGGGUGAUAGGCUUUGGGUUAGAGAAAGAGGUAGUGUGCAUGUAUGAACAUAUGUGAAUGUGUGUAGACACGUAUGAGCACGGGAAAGCAUACACCCAUGUACGCAUGCCCACAUGGUAUCUGAGUCUUCAUGUUUGGCCGAACAACUAUCUUUGUGUGCUUGACCAUUUCUAAGGUGCUGGGAGAUAGGGUUUUCUUCUGGGGAUGGAGGGGAAGGGGUGACUUAGCGCUGGGUCCUAGACACACAGGUCUCAGCCCUUGCUACUGAGGCGCAGCCAAGUGGGUUUUCCUGGCUUGGGCCCAGGGGUCCCCUUCUCCAAUGCAACCUCCAUCUGUCUACCGCUUGUCCUCCCUCCUGGCCUUCGCCCUAGCGUCUGAUCACCUUGGUUUUUGUGUUAUCUUGUUGCCACAAACACCACAAUGAGGGACAAAUGAAAAGGUGACCCUGAGGGUUCUCCUUCUUUCUGCUAACGGCCGACACUAUUUGUGGUGUGUGUUGGGUGCUGGAGACACAAGAAGGUAAGUAGGCUCUGGCCCCAACCUCACAGAGCUCAUAGUACAGGGCUUCCACUAGUUUCUAUACACCGCAUCACCAUCCUGUGAGCCCCUAACCCCUGGGCAAAUUAGAUGAGGCUCUCAGGAGAAUUGACCUGAACCUGACUUGACCUCUGGUUAAAAUACAAAACCCUUAGCUUUCAGGUGGCCCAGUGCCACAGCCUGUCUGCUCAGCUAGGCUGGGUGCCUGAUCCUGGACCCAGCCUCUUAUCUCGUCCCUUUUGCACCGUCUUUAUUAUUCAUAUUGUAUAUGAAAAACCACUCCACGUGCUGCCAAAUGAACUGAGGAAUAGGCCCAAUUAAAGCGCCUUUCCCCCACCAGCCAGGCAGCAGAGGCGGUGGGUGAGGUGAGGUUGGACUGACUGUAGGGCCCUGUGCCGAGCCACCACCCCGACUAGACAGAGGCAGGCCAGCAUCUGGCAGGCGCAGCCGUCUCCCUGGAAAACGAGAUGCUUCUUAUUGAGAUAACGAAUCGCUCCAUUUAGAUCCAAAUUAACCUCCCCCAUUCCCCCCCCCCCCGCUCUCCACCGCAUUUCACCAGAUCGAAACCCUCUCUGCCCUCACAGCUGAGUGCCCAGCCUUUCCAGGUCCCGUGCUUCCCAAAGUCAGGACAGCUCGGCAGCCUCAGCCGGCCAGUGGGCGCCCUUCCUGCAAUGGGUCACGUUCCCUUUUCUUUUUCUUUCUUUCUGUUUUUGGUGGGGGUGGGGUGGGGUGGGGGUGGGGUGGAAAGCUUGAUGCAGCUGCUGCUCUGAGGAGUGGGAAUUUUUAUUUUAUUUUUUUUUUAGCUCAUUCUUUGAAAUAAGGAUGCAAUAUGGGAUCAAUUUUUGAUGACAGUGAAGUAAGAGGGGAAAAUAGUAGCAAUUUUCUCUUCUGAACAUGCCCUAUUUAAUGGAAGGAUGUCAAGGUGGGGCUUUAUACAGAGGAGAGACCGCGUGUUCCCAGGGACACAUGGUCAAUCAGAAAUGCCUGGUGUGAUCUCCGUUUGAGGGUGGCUGGGAACCCCUCCCCAUUCCCUAGUGUCUUCCAUUGAGGGGCUACCAGGGGCCCAGAAGUGGAGCAGGGAAAGGCUGAGUUUCUGUUCCCCUUCACCUGACUCCACAAUGGACCCUUUGUGCUCUGCAGGUCUCAGUUUGCACCAGGAUUCUAGAGCCAGAGACCCCAGGGAAUCUUUGGUUAAUUAGGGUUAUAAAAUCCCGCCCAGCUGCGGGUGCCUUUACAUUAAACCCAGGAAGCUGAGCUUUAGUUGGCCGGAGCUUCAGGGUAGGGGGUGGGAAGAGGGUAAGGACCUGGUGGGGACCGGGUCGAAUCCCUGAGCUGGCAGAGCUGGGAUGGGCAGCACACCCAGCCUAUUGUCUGGAGGUGCAGGAUGGUGGCUGGGGGAGGGCCUGGGAGAGGGGCGGAGGAAAGGGCUGUUUACAGAGGCUACUGAAAGCAACUGCCAAGCCCCCACUCCUAGUGUCAGAGGGGAACUGCCACAACCCCAUUCCACCAGUGUAAGAGACAAUUCAGAAGAUUCAGACCCCGGUCGUGUGCAGUCACAGUUGAGGUUCAGGCCCAGAUUCGAAAUGGACCAGAGGUCAGGGUUUCUACCUCAAAAGCCACCUCCUAAUUCAAUUUCCCUCACUGGACUCUGGGGUUCUCGGGCAGCAUCUGAAUGGUGCCAUGGCCGUUACUGGCCCGUUCCUUCUGAGGUCUAGUCCUCUAUGCCUUGCUGUCUUCCAAGGCUUCCUUCCCCUUGCAAUAGCAGCAGCAGUACACCUUGAGGCCCAUGCCCCACAAAUAUAUAUCAGAUUCACAAAACCACACCAGACUGUGUGACUUGAAACAGCACUCAGGCACACUAAAUUCCCGCAGACCUGCACAGAGCUGUGGUUCCAAAGAUAUGUGCCCCCGCACACCCACCCCCCGCCCGCCACCCGUGAACCCACUAAACACAAGCAGUUCGUAUCCCAAAUGUGACCUUCUGGAGUCUUUGCUAUAAGGUCAAAGCGGUGCGGACACAAAAGGCCUUGCUGCUCCGCCAGACUACCACACAUUACAGAAACCUAGGGGUGGGCAGGCCAGGUCUUAAUCCAAAAAUGUCUGCAGAUCCAAGGAGGGCCCGCUGGGGCCUCUUGUCUCAGCACCUGCCCGUCAACAGACUCCGCCCAAAGCCACGCCCGCCACCUUCUUUCCUUCUUUGGCUGUGGCCGGGCCUCUGAAAUAAUUAGCAAUUCUGCUCGACAAAACGCAAGCCCGAUGGGAUAAUAAACUCCAACAUCUGUCAGAAGAGCGAGCUCCUAUGGAAUUGCCAAGAGAAACAUUUUUCUCCUCAUUCAAUUCACAUUUAAAUCGAAAACAACCCCUGCAAGUCUGCGCCAGGCCUGCGGCGCGGGGCUCCGGGAGCCCACAAGCUGUUCCUGGGCCUGCAAAGAGGCUUGGACGAGUGGCGAUCACUCACUCAAAUUAACAAAUCAUUUUAUUUAGAAAUGAAGAGAAUUUGUAAGUGACGGAUGGCCUCAGGGCCACUGAGGAGGAGGGAAAGCCUGCCACUGGUCCACCACACAAGGUAGGCAGGCUCUAUGCCCCCCUGAACAGAAAGAGCACAGGGCAGAGGAGCCGGCACUCUCCACUUUCACAGCUGCCCAGUAUGACAGACAAGCUAGGAAUCAUGUUGCCACUCUAUGGGGGGUCCAUGGAGGACCGGAGGAUGCCCUGGAUCUCCAUUUCAGGGUGUCUAGCCAGGGCUGGCUCUACCCCAAAAGGAACCUCUCAGGCCUGCAAUUCAACCUUUGGGCUGUAGGGAGCGCUGUGCAGAGCGGCAGGAGCCUCUUCAAGGUUGGAUUUGGAUAUGGAAAAGCCUUGCCAAUAGAAUUAUACUCCUGUUACAGGAGCACCAGAGACUUGAGUUCUAGGUCCAGGGCUGCAGUUAUACCAUUUUUAUAAUGAACGGUAUACACCUGGAUUGUCAUGGGCCUUCCCAUGUACGAGAACCUCUGAAAGUGAGCUACCAAACACCAAAUAAUGACAAGCUGGGGACAGGGCCCAGACCUUGCUAGACCCUCUCAGGGCUCUACGUGUCUCCAUUGUACCUCCGCUCAGGGCUUGUGAGGUGCCUGCAUGCUAGCAAGCUCUCACAGGACUUAGCUUUUUGUUCUGCCAUCUUUCCUGCCUUCUGUGAGAAGCAGGGGUAUUUCUCCCCCUCUUUUCAAUCACAGUGGUCUCAAUGCCCAGUUACUAUUUCUUCUUAAAUAAACAAAUGAGGGCUGGAGAGAUGGCUCAGUGGUUAAGAGCACCAACUGCUGUUUCUAGAGGUCCUGAGUUCAAUUCUCAGUAACCACAUGGUGGUUCAUAACCAUCUGUAAUUGGAUCUGAUGCCCUCUUCUGGUGUGUCUGAAAACAGCUACAGUGUACUCAUAUAAAUGAAAUAAAUACAUCUUAAGAAAAAAUAAACAAAUGAUUGGAUGGAUAGAAGGGACUUGGCUGCCUAGACGUGUAUGAGACAGGGGGCACUGACUGUCUGUGUACUGGGAUACAUUUUGAUAUCCUUAUCCUUUCGAAUGGACCAUUCCUUCUGCCCAGAAUGCCAUUCCUCUCCAUCUCAUCCCUGGGCCUCUUCAGCUCAGUCACCCUCGUUUUGCACCCUUGUCCCUGCUAUGGCUACAGCUCACUCUGAACCAGUCCCCCCGCCCCCACCCCAGUGGUGGAGACUGAACAGAGGACCUCACACACACUAGGCUGUGCUACAGCCCCAGCCUUAGACCAGAUUUCCCCAAGUCAGCUGGGACCUGGCUCCUCUUUGUCCUUCCUGAAGCUAUGGUUGGGUCUCUUGUCUUAUUUUUCGAGAUAAGGUCUCUUAUUAGACCUUUAGCCCACCUAUUGGCUAGACUGGUUGACCAGCAAGCUUUACUGAUCCUCCUGCCUCCACCUUCCUACUGCAGGGUUACAGGUGUGUGCCGCCUUGCUUGGCCUUUGACAUGGGCUCCAGGGUCCUUAACGUAGGUGCUCAUGCUUGCUGUGCCAACUGAGCUAUCUCCCUAGCUCCUGUUCAUUUAUUUAUUAGUAAAUAAAUAGCUCAGGCUAGCCUCCGGCUCACCAUAUUCUUGAGGAUGACUUUGAACUUCUAACUGUUCGGCUUUUACCUUUCACGGUCUGGUAUAGCAGGCGUUUGCUGCCGUGCUUGCUUUCUGCCUUUCCUAAAUGGCCCCCGGGUUUCUUUAAUUCCCUAUUACUGUGGAGAUAUCCCCUUUAGCAUUCACUCACAGGUGAGGUGAGGUGCUCUCAGGGGUCUGCUAAGCAGGAGGCAUGCAGUGUGUCUCAGGAGGGAUAUCGAGGGCAGCCUAGAAGGCAAGUGAGUGAGUGAGUGUGUGUGUGUGUGAGUGUGUAUGUGUGUGAGUGUGUGUGUGUGAGUGAGUGUGUAUAUGUGAGUGUGUGUGUGCGCAUGAUUUCAUAGCUCCAUAGGGCUGAUACCUCCAUCUCAGACCCUUCUCUGGGACCUCAUGGCUUUGACUAUUGCUAUUGCUUCAGAUGGGAGUAGAGGAGGGAGGGGGAAGAAAGGGGUCCCCUAAAGGCAUUCCAACCUUUGAUAAUUCCUCUGUUCCUCUCAUGGCUGGGGCCUGCCUGGCUUGAAUUUGGAGUUUCUAGGCAUCUGGGGACCUAUGUGGGGAGGGCCUCUGCCUUGAGGGCAAAGAGACAAAGAACCUACUGGGAACAUCUCAGGGUAAUACCUGGAUAUCCCUGGGUAAAUUUGUGAGUUCAUGACUCACUCAAACUGCAGAGGUGUGGAGGAGUACUAGGAGUAUGGGGGUGGAGACUCAACUCCAUUUCCUGGGAUAAAGAGCUUUUGGGAGAGAGUAUCUAUACCAAAAUUCUCUAGAGAUGGGGCCAAGAAACCGGUUAGGUUUCAGCAAGUGCAAUCAUGGUUUGACCCAAGAAAGAACUUUUAAACAAUUCUAACUGUGAAGCAGGGAUCUGGAGACAUGGUGGCACCUCCCUCUAGAGUCAGCAUAGACUAACAGGUCACUUGCCCGGAGAAAGAGCUGGACCAGCCCCCUCCAGUCUAGUGAUUAAAGAUUCUGUUUUGGUUCCCUGAUGUCAUGAACCUGAAUCUUCAGCAUCCCCGGGGCCUUGAACUUGUGAGCCAAGAUCUGAUAAUGUGCCCCUGAGCUCUAACUUGGGAAUUUGACAUGUGAUGCUGUGGUGACCUCACUGGUGACCUUGAGAUUCCUGGUAUCAGUCCUGAGCUGUAACUUGCUUGGUGGGUACUUCCUUAGUUUGCAAGCCAUGGACUCACAUAUGACCCUGAGGCCACCAAGCCAACAGCACCUUCACGGAGAAGCAGGUGGCCCCUUUACUCAGGGAAGUCCCGGCCUGUUUAAUGGGCACAUGCUGUGUCCCUGAAUGUCUAUACAGGACGGAGUGGUGGCACACACAAGGACUCCAGAAGCUUCACACUGAACGUGACUGGAAAUUAUUUCCCUGGCAGAAUUGAGAAGCUAUGGUGAGGGGCGGGGCAGCCUCCUCAGGGCUAGGGCUUGGUUCCCAGGACCCACCCGAGGAGACCCAGACAGUCCUGACCUCCACUCCUUGCCUUCCCCCCCAUUCUAUCUUCUAAGAGGGAAGUCAUGGGGAAGUAACCCUUGAAGGGAGAAAAGAGAAUGUUUUUAAUUAAAAGUUUAAAAGGAUUCACAUCCCGAGGGAAUCACAGCAAGAAAAGGCGGGGAGACAAGGGGUGGGCAGGGAGCAGAAAAGUAGGCCAUGCCAGCUAAAGCUCCAACCAGUUCUUCCAGUUGCCUUGUGCAUUGCACAGCUUCAGUGGGCUUGGGCCCUGUGCAGCGCAGCCUUAGUCAGGGAAGGGCUUGGCUCUGAUCGCUGGCCUGAGACAGUUCUGAUUAAAAGCUUAAAGCCGGUCAUGAUGGCACAUACAUAUUACUAACACUCAGGAGGCUGAGGCACAAAGAUCACCAACUGGAGGCCAGCCUGGGCUACCUAGGAUGACCCUGUUUCAAAACAAUAUUAAAAACCAAUCAGCUUAAACUGAGGUCUUAAACUGUUCCCUCUGCCUAGCCUCAGACAUUUCUGAUCCCAGGACAAUGAGGCUGGUCUGGAGAUGUCAUGUUUGGCUAAGGGCCUAGGUGCAUGCCACCCACUGUGGAAUUCUAAGGGUAACCUGUCCGUAGUCGAUGGCUCCAAGCAGCCCCUGCCUGAGGGUUCAACUGUCACCUCUGCCUACUUCCAUCCACCUUGCCUGCCACACCCUCAUCUCUCACAUGCUGCAUCCUGAGUGGGCAACACCACCAUGCAUUUUACUAGUCUGAGCCCUGCAGUUGGACAGUGCCUGGGUGGGAAUAAAACAGGCAAAUUCUCUUGGGAAGAGACUCUAUGAGGUCUGUGCAGUCCCUUUUUCCUGGCAUGAGUUGAGCUCUGACAUCUUCAGCUCGAUUCACUGAUUUCCGUUUACUUAGCAGGCUGGGGCUGGAAUGUAUUAAGGGGGGAGGGUGUCACUGCUUGUGGGGGGAGGGAGGCAAAGCUGACCUAUGAGAUGUUCCUACACCCAGAAGUCUCUCUCUACCCUAACCCUUUCCACCCUUUCCUGGAAGAGAAAAAGGUGAACAGAAAAUAUGACAGAUGUAAUAGUUUACGAAAUGAACUAAUUACAUGGUAGUCACACAGAGAGAUGAGGUUAGCAGAGGAACCUUGGAUAAAAGGAAGCCCAGGUGUGCAGGCCAAUGGAAGGAAAAGGUCGGUGUCAUUGGGAUAUUGUGGAACUUGGUAUUCCUGCCUGAGGCUUGGAGAACGGGAGCAAUGGCCUCCUGAAUUAGACCAUAGUCACGAAUCUGGGUUGUCUCUACAGUCCAUAGACCUCCUGGCUCCAACUCUCUCCAAGUUGCUAGGACCCUAGAGCCUAUCUAAAAACUGGCUAGAAGCAGGACCCUGAGGUCCCCCAGCUCUGGGGGUCAGGAGGGCUGCUGGCCCUGUGAACUUCAGGCAAGACUGUAUGCAUUCACUGUGAAGUUACACAAGACCCUGGGAUUUGAGAGUCUAUGCUCUCACCACCCCUUGCCCAUGAAAGCCCGACUGCUACACCCCAUAAGCUCCAGGCUUGCCUCUUGGUGAGGAGACCAGCAGGCACUUGAGGAAGGUCUCACCAUGCAGCCCACGCUCCUACCUUUUACAUGUCAGCCCCAGGAAGUGUCCCAGGCUCCUACCUCCCUGCCCCACUGCAGCCAAUCCACUCAUGAGGCCCCACUUGAUUCUAAGGUUCCUCCCUCUUCCACAUAAGGCUGUAGGCCUUCAACCCCUCUCUUGACACCUAUGAUCGUCUUUCUUUUCCCCUGAGUAGCCCCACUUCCCGUGAGUGCCCCACUUUCUGUGUUGGAGACUAACUGCCCACUCACUUUAGAGCUCAGGCACCUAGCUCUGCUCCUCUCUUCUAAUGAAGUCGUCCUGGACUCAGCUGGGUCAUCUACUAUCCUAAGGCUCUUUCCUCUUUCAGAAUCUUUCCCCUGCUCUCUGAGGGACAAAUGUAAUGCCCCAAGUUAUCCUAUAAGCUCCACAUGCCCGAGGACCAGGUAACCUCCCAGGGUGCUGGGAGUUGUAGUUUUUUUGUGUUUUGUUUUGUUUGUUUGUUUGUUUUUGGAACAUAACAGCAGCUUCAUGGGAGAGUAUGGUAGCCUAUGGGUUUGUGUUUAUAACUCCUGUUGCACAUGUCUUGUUGCCACUUAGCUGGAAAAUUCCAGGGAAUGGUCCUGACCAAAGUCCAUCUUUUGGUCAAUAUUUAAUAAAGUUUGCUUCAAAUCCA